GGUUGAGGCCAGGAAAUAAAUAAAUUACGGGGGGAGGGGGCGUGGAGCCGGCGCCAGGGUUCGCGGACGCUCACCUUCCGGAGGCGCGCAGGUGUGUUCAAUGUGCGGGCGCAGGCGAGACCCGAGGACUGGCAGGCAGCCGGGCAGUGGAAGCUCGUCUGCCACCUGCUACGUUAGUCGCGGGGGAAGGGAAGAGGAACAGAAUCGAAAUACGCCUCCCACCCCCGCUCCUCUCAAUUCACUGUAGGUGUUUAUCACAGUAGGUCACAGUAUGACCAAGCUUUACUCUCUUCUCUUUUCUCUUACCCUCCAGAAAUUUUAAGAAAAUACACUACCUUUCAAUGAAACGCCUCUCUUUUUCAUCUUCUGCCAGUGCUGUCUAAUCAAAAUAUGAGAGCCACAAAUGCAAGCCACUUACAUAAUUAUAAAUUUUCUAGAAUGCACCUUACGCGAGUGAAAAGAAACAGGUGAAAUUAAUUUACAUAAUAUCAUUUACUUAAGUAGAUUCCAAAUGGUAUCAUUCCAACAUGUAAUUAAUAAAGAUACAAAAUUUUUUCAUACUAAUCAAAAUCCAAUGUGUAUUCUAGGCUUGUGGCAUAUCUCACUUAGGAUGAAGCCAUUUGAAGUGCUCAGUAGCCCUCUGAGGCUAGUUGCUACUGCACUGCACAACAAAUUUCUAUCCAUUAUUUAUGUGUAAAUUAUUGUUUUUUAAAAACCAGCUCUGAUGGUGCUAAAGCCAAAUGAGAGGAAAAUGUAAGUAAUAAAAAGGAAAAAAAAAUGAUUUUUUCAGUAUGAAAUUGAAACAUCUUCACAAAUUGAUUGUAGCCCUGUAUUUUAAGCAAGGCUUAAUGUUUUUCAAUUUUGUCAUCUUGAGAAUCAUUUGUUAGGAAAAAAUAAACCUGUUAACAAUUUCUUCUUGCUAAUAAAGAAAACACUGACAUCUUCACCUAAAUGAAGGAGGAAAAUAGCUCUGAUGAAGGCGUGCAUUCUCAGUCCUGUCCACUCUGUGCAACCCCAUGGACUAUAUAGCCCGCCAGGCUCCUCUGUCCAUGGGAUUCUUCAGGGGAGAACGUUGGAGUGGGUUGCCAUUUCCUCUGCCAGGAGAUUUUCCCAACCCAGGGAUGAAACCCACAUCUUCUUCAUCUCCUGCAUUGGCAGGCAGAUUCUUUAUCAUUGAGCCACCUGUAAAGCCCUAAUGAAGGCAAUCAUGAAUAAAUGUUUAACACUGUUGAUUGUUGGCAAAAAUAAGUCAGGGAUGGAAGCCAGCAAAAAGUGUGGUUCCUCGGUGCUGAGAAAGAAUGUAGGGUUCAAAGUAGGCCAGAAGUUUGGUUUGGAUCCUGGUUUAGACCCUUAAUGCCUGGGUGGUCUUGGAUUUAAUUUUAGUUAAGGAUCUUGAGAUGAAUUCAUCCUGGAUUUAGGGAGGACCUUAAAUCCACUGGCUGAUGUCUUCAUAAGGGAAAGGAGAGGGAGAUUUGGGCACAGAGAGACACACAGAAAGGGUAGAAAUGUGAAGAGGAAGCAGAGAUUGGAGUGUCUCUGCAAGCCAAAGAACACCAGCGACUGCUGACAACCAGAAGUGACUGCCGAUAACGAGAAGCUUUCUCUACAUGCUAAUAG
Long non-coding RNA from Bos taurus (domestic cattle), 1617 nucleotides. Lineage: Eukaryota; Metazoa; Chordata; Mammalia; Artiodactyla; Bovidae. The record is from Ensembl.